This 484-nucleotide ribosomal RNA is filed under the name uncultured bacterium. RNAcentral's name for it is "partial 16S ribosomal RNA". It matches the Rfam family "Bacterial small subunit ribosomal RNA", at positions 30 to 507 of the family's 1533-position model. The record is from RNAcentral.
AUUGAACGCUGGCGGAAUGCUUUACACAUGCAAGUCGAGCGGCAGCGCGGCCUUCGGGCUGGCGGCGAGCGGCGAACGGGUGAGUAAUGCAUCGGAACAUGCCCAGUCGUGGGGGAUAACACUUCGAAAGAAGUGCUAAUACCGCAUACGUCCUGAGGGGGAAAGCGGGGGAUCGCAAGACCUCGCGCGAUUGGAGUGGCCGAUGUCAGAUUAGCUAGUUGGUGGGGUAAAGGCCUACCAAGGCGACGAUCUGUAGCUGGUCUGAGAGGAUGAUCAGCCACACUGGGACUGAGACACGGCCCCGACUCCUACGGGAGGCAGCCGUGGGGAAUUUUGGACAAUGGGGGCAACCCUGAUCCAGCCAUUCCGCGUGAGUGAAGAAGGCCUUCGGGUUGUAAAGCUCUUUCGGCAGGAACGAAACGGUGGGCUCUAACAUAGUCCGCUAAUGACGGUACCUGAAGAAGAAGCACCGGCUAACUACGUG